RNAcentral lists this ribosomal RNA (660 nucleotides) under uncultured bacterium. Its description in RNAcentral is "bacterial SSU rRNA". It matches the Rfam family "Bacterial small subunit ribosomal RNA", at positions 94 to 788 of the family's 1533-position model. The record is from RNAcentral.
AGUGGCGGACGGGUGAGUAACGCGUGAGAAUCUGCCUUGGGGUCGGGGACAACCACUGGAAACGGUGGCUAAUACCGGAUAAGCCGAUUGGUGAAAGAUUUAUUGCCCGAAGAGGAGCUCGCGUCUGAUUAGCUAGUUGGUGAGGUAAGAGCUCACCAAGGCAGCGAUCAGUAGCUGGUCUGAGAGGACGAUCAGCCACACUGGGACUGAGACACGGCCCAGACUCCUACGGGAGGCAGCAGUGGGGAAUUUUCCGCAAUGGGCGAAAGCCUGACGGAGCAAGACCGCGUGAGGGAGGAAGGCUCUUGGGUUGUAAACCUCUUUUCUCAGGGAAGAAGCUCUGACGGUACCUGAGGAAUCAGCCUCGGCUAACUCCGUGCCAGCAGCCGCGUUAAUACGGAGGAGGCAAGCGUUAUCCGGAAUUAUUGGGCGUAAAGCGUCCGCAGGUGGCGAUUCAAGUCUGCUGUCAAAGCACGGGGCUUAACUCCGUAAAGGCAGUGGAAACUGAAUAGCUAGAGUGCCGUAGGGGUAGAGGGAAUUCCCGGUGUAGCGGUGAAAUGCGUAGAGAUCGGGAAGAACAUCGGUGGCGAAAGCGCUCUACUGGACGGCAACUGACACUCAGGGACGAAAGCUAGGGGAGCGAAUGGGAUUAGAUACCCC